GAGAAUGCUACAAGAACUGCUAAUUCCUGACCCCAUACCUAAACGUAUGGCUUUCU
This 56-nucleotide transfer RNA is filed under the name Rhyncholestes raphanurus (Chilean shrew opossum). RNAcentral's name for it is "transfer RNA-Ser". Lineage: Eukaryota; Metazoa; Chordata; Mammalia; Paucituberculata; Caenolestidae. The record is from RNAcentral.